Hydra vulgaris (swiftwater hydra) is the source of this 298-nucleotide non-coding RNA. The record is from RefSeq and is a predicted model, not a curated record. Lineage: Eukaryota; Metazoa; Cnidaria; Hydrozoa; Anthoathecata; Hydridae.
ACAUAAUAUGAUUUAAAUUGAUGAUUUAUAGUUACACCUAUUGAAAUUCUGUAUCUCAAUGAUAUCCUGGCUUAUCGAUACGAUAUCCUGUAAAUCCACUCACAUACAAAUUUUACUUACACACGUAAUUCCUGUAAAUUCACUCACACACAUAAAUCUCAAAAAAGAUGUUUUUAUUUUUAUUUAUAAAUUGUAAAUUUUAUAUAAAUAAAUUGUAUAUUUUUUAUGUUUUUCAUUGUAUAUUACUACUUGUACAAAAAUCGACUUUGGAAAUAUUGCAAGUGCAGAGUUCAACAUA